This 255-nucleotide ribosomal RNA is filed under the name uncultured prokaryote. RNAcentral describes it as "partial 16S ribosomal RNA". It matches the Rfam family "Bacterial small subunit ribosomal RNA", at positions 523 to 777 of the family's 1533-position model. The record is from RNAcentral.
AUACGUAGGUGGCAAGCGUUACUCGGAAUCACUAGGCGUAAAGCGCAGGUAGGAGGUUUGGUAAGUCUGUUGUGAAAGCUCCUGGCUUAACUGGGAGAGGUCAACGGAAACUGCCAGGCUUGAGUGUGGUAGAGGUAGCUGGAAUUCCCGGUGUAGCGGUGAAAUGCGUAGAUAUCGGGAGGAAUACCUAUGGCGAAAGCAGGCUACUGGACCAUCACUGACUCUGAUCUGCGAAAGCUAGGGGAGCAAACAGGA